This 6267-nucleotide unclassified non-coding RNA is filed under the name Homarus americanus (American lobster). RNAcentral describes it as "uncharacterized LOC121856768, transcript variant X1". The record is from RNAcentral. Lineage: Eukaryota; Metazoa; Arthropoda; Malacostraca; Decapoda; Nephropidae.
GUGAGGCACGGAGCCCUUCGCCCACCGUCCGCGUCAACACCGCGCGCUUAGGGACAGUCUCGUGUUGAGUCGUUCCACCAGAUAGGCUUAGCAGCGGCUCGUCCCGUCAUGAUUGUUGAUGAUUGUUAACUAAUUGUGUGUUAAAAGAACGGGUUAAUAGAGGUUAUAAACUUAGAAUUUAUCAAGUUAUUAUAUUCGCUGAAGUGUGUAUCUUCCAAGAGGAUUUAAUACACGUUAGUGUUAGUGUCAAAGGAACUUUUUGCGUGAGGUGCAAAUUCAGAAACACAGCAUAAAUAAUCAGUCGCAAAUCAGGCUUUGUUUGUCAUUGAUAAAAGAAGGAUUGUCAUGAAUAUUAUAAGAACAAAAAUGACUUAAGAAAACGGUGAGAAAAUCGUUUCAUCCGUUUAAUUCUGGUAAUCUGCAGCGACUCAGAGUCUUGCUUAUUAAGGCGUCAAGAGGAACAUGAGAGGCGGCUCAAGGGUACUUUUACCUCAGCCAGAGAACUCUUGUUAAGGAAGUAUGGAGACAAUUAAUGGAAGUCCUCACACUGCUCCAACCUGCCAUGGCAAGCAGAAGGUGUUAAGACAUUCUGCAACGCGCUUAAAGGUGAAAUUUGUGAGGCAUUAUCAGAAGGAAGAUCUUAUCUAACAUUUCUGCUCAAGAGUGUAAGUACUGCAUCAAAUAUCCCUGAAGUUUAUGGGUGACGCAUCUAACAGCUAUGAAGUUUAUGAAUGACGCAUCUAACAACCCUGAAGUUUAUGAGUGACGCAUCUAAUAGGCCUGAAGUUUAUGAGUGACGCAUCUAAUAGGCCUGAAGUUUAUGAGUGACGCAUCUAAUAGGCCUGAAGUUUAUGAGUGACGCAACUAACAGCUCAGAUAUUCUUAGGAAACGCCAAACAAAAUAAAACAAAGUUGUUCAGAAUCCCCGUCAGUUAUGUUCGUAAUAUGAAAUUGUUUGUUUAUUUAAUGAUCACAGAUGACGAUUGGUAAACAAAGGAGGAUAGUUUUAUUGUCGUUAAAAACACAUUGAUAAUUAUUUGAUAAGGUAUACCGCAUAAAUAUAUAGAUGAUUAUUAUAUAUAGAUAUAUAAUUUUGAAUAAAGUUACCUAAAUUAUGUCGUCAUUAAAGAGUCCAGAGACAAGUCCUAUUAUAAGAUACUUGGUACAGGUAGUGUAGUGGGGCAGAGAUGGCGAGUCAUUGAGCUGGUGUUGUGGUGUGUCGUGACUAACACACAUACACAGUUGCCUUAAGAUGAACUCUUGGAUGUCUCAGCACAGCCUGGAGAGAUCAGCCAGGCUGCGACGGACUACUAUUUCAUGGGCGUGGGUAUGGGCCUUCUUGUGGGCGUGGGUAGUGUGUGGAGCAACUGGCACGUGUCCCAAGGUGUGUGAGUGUAAGUGGCGUGACGGCAAGGAGACAGUGUCGUGUCCAGAUUCUGAGUUCAUCGACAUCCCGCGAGGACUUGAUCCUUCCACUCAAGUGCUGGACCUGAAGCACAACAACCUAAAGAUCCUACCUCGUGACGCCUUUGUCGACACAGGUCUGGUGAAUUUGCAGAAAGUCUGGUUAAAUCACUGCAACUUGAAACACUUGGAAGGUGGCGCCUUUAACAUGCUCGCCAACCUAGUGGAGUUGGAUCUGAGCCACAACUUGCUGCGACUGGUGCCCUCAGAGGCGCUGAGUGAUGUGCCUGGCUUACGGGAGCUCUGUCUCGCUUACAACAAUCUUAACUCCCUCGCCGAGGCAACCUUCACCCCCACGCCAGACCUGGUGCGUCUCGACCUCUCUCAUAACGAUAUUGAAGUGGUUCACAAGCGAGCUUUCCGAGGACUGACCCGCCUCGAAGUGCUUAAAUUGUCGAUUAAUAAACUUAAGACAUUAAACGCAGAGAUGGUUAUCCCCCUGGUGGCUAUCCACGAGCUACACCUGGACGGUAACCCCUGGCACUGUGACUGUCAACUGCGUCCUCUGCGUCAAUGGAUGAUGGAACGCAACGUUGCCUUCUCGGAGCCGCCCACCUGUGUGUUUCCUGAACGGCUUAAAAGUCGCUCUUGGCAGACACUGAUGCUUGACGAAUUCGUGUGUGUUCCUAAAGUGACGGCAGUGGCCCCAAGAGUUCUGGCGGCCCAUGGCGAGAACGUGUCCCUGUCUUGUCGAGUCGAAACUGACGUUGACGCCGCCGUCACCUGGCUGGUGGGCGACCGUCCCCUGCGUAAUGGGAGUGAGUCUCAGCGGUACCGAGUACUGGAACUGGUGGCUCCCAACCACGAGACACGCUUGUCCAACUUGACCAUCUGGGGGGCGGCCCCUCAGGACCAGGGAACUUACCGCUGCGUGGCUCACAACAAGGCUGGCACGGUAGAGACCAACCUCACACUCCAGGUGUCUAACGAGAUAGCCGAGGUGCGUCUGGUGACCAUGGACCGAGUGUUCGUGACUGGCGGACUCCUAAGUGCAGUGGCCAUUAUCUGCGUCGUUUUACUACUAUUUGCGGCCAUUAUAUUCCGCAGAAGACAGCGGAUGCGGCGGCGGCGAGGUCAGGACAACGAGCACAAAAACGAGACGCCACAAUCAUCGCAGGCGCGUGGCAGCACCUCCAGCGACUCCCAUCCCAAGUUGGCAGAAUAUCAUAUUGUGCCGACAAACGAUCUGGACGAACCGUCGCCACUACCAACUCACUCCGACAAAUCAUGGAUGCUGAGAGACGCUUCCGUUGAUGACUUCCCAUCAACCAAAGAAUUAGAAAAGCCUAAUGUCUACACAGAGAAGGAACAAAGAAGACAGACAAAGCCUGGACAAGCCAGCAGUGGCAAGACGAGUUCCCCGAGCACCGUCUCUUACGUAGAGAUCCCCAAGUCAGAGAUGGCGGCCGCCCCUCACCAGCCCAUCGAGGACAGAUUGAGAUGGAAAGAUCACAGCUACGACAGCAAAGAUAAUCUGCUGCGGCAGGCGUGUAGUCAGGCGGGCUCUCAGCUGUCCAUGGGAAGCGGGAGACACUACCCUGACCUGCUAGACUUGCCUUACCCUCAACAGACACAGCAGCAGCAGCAGUCACAGCAGCUUCACCACCAGCAACAGCAGCAGCCUCGACCGCCGCUACAGCUACUAAACCCUGCUUACUGCACCAUGCCCAGGAGCUCUGGCAGUGUGGGUGCUGGUGAGGGGUCAGGAUCCAAGCAGCCACCCUCAGCCACGGGAGAGGACGGCCCCUACCAGGAGACUUCCUUCUCCCGCCGCUACAGGUGCGGGAGCUGGGUGAACCUGACGGAGAGUGAAGCGUCCUCCACCUCUUACCCUCACCCACCCAUCCGUCACCAGCUCUCUCUGCCAGACACUUCACCCAUCCUCAACCUUCGUCACCACACCCUCAACGACCUUAUGGCCGUCCACAGAGGAGAGUUAGGAGGUGACGCAGGGGCCGUAGGUGGAGGUGACUUGGAGUCUGCGGAUCCCUGCAACUUGGAGUACCAUGCGGCCCAGUUGGAAAAAUUCCUUCUGGAGUACCGCAGUCUACAAGAACAGCUCUAUCGCAUGAAGGAGUCUUAUGAAGCCAGCCACAGACCUGACGGGAGUGACAGCCUUCAUGAUGUGAGCAACGGUGAGGCUGAGGACGACAAUGUUCCUCCACCUUGCCCUGAGGCUCCCACCUCCUCUCCGUACACCCAGACUCCCACCACCACUGAUCCUACGGGUACUGGCUCUCAGGAGGAACCUCUCGAGUCAACAGAACCUCUUAGAUCUAUCCUGAAGAAGCGAUAUGAGGAGGGCACUCGUGGUCUGCCUGGCCUCCAAGGUCUUCUAGGACUGCAGAGUCUCCAAGGCCUAAAAGGUCUCCAAAGUCUCCAAGGGCUUCAAGGGCUUCAGGGACUACAAGGACUCAAGGAGCUCCAAAACCUUCAAGGACAGUAUUCCAAAAGUGCCUACUACGGCGAGGACUCGGAACGCCUCCGUCCCCCCUUUAGUCUGCCUCACCACAAGUUCCCUGAUCAUGAAUCCUGAGACCCACUGAGGGAGGUACACAGACAAGAGGUGGAGCGAGGUGAGGGGGCUGGAGUAGGGGUGGAGUGAAUGAUUUAAUUGAAAAUGGAGCAGGAAUGAAGCUGAAAUUGGAAAUGGAGUGGCAGCUGAAAAGUGAACUAAAAUGGACAUCGGAAAACCAGAUGGAGUGGAAGACAUGCUAUGGGAGUUUAAAGUGGAACAAGGUUACCUAAGUCACACGUGGAGUGAGGCUACUGGAGUAACACGUGUAGUGAGGCUACUGGAGUAAAACGUGGAGUGAGACUACUGGAAUAACACGUGGAGUGAGACUACUGGAGUAACACGUGUAGCGAGGCAACUGAAGUAACACGUGUAGUGAGACUAUCGGAGUAACACGUGGAGUGAGGCUACUGGAGUAACACGUGGAUGAGGCUACUGGAGUAACACGUGGAUGAGGCUACUGGAGUAACACGUGGAUGAGGCUACUGGAGUAACACACGGAACAAUGCUGCUGGACAUCACGACUAAGCGACAACAUGUGAAGGCGCGCGGGGGAGGUCGGUGGGAGAGGCUCCAUUCUGGUGGUACUUUGCAAUAACACAACUCCCACGAACUCCACUUCCCGAUUCUCCAACAACCAACAAUACUCUCGUCUUAUCUACUGUUACACGUAUUUUUUUUGUGAUUCAUUCUCUUCACAAUAUACUAAGUCAAUGUUUUUUGCAAUAAAUCUUAUUUUUGUCCUGAGUGAUGACGUCACUGAGAGGCAUGAAGGACGUAAACAGCUGAUGGUUAGGGUUCAGAAGCUUUACUGGGUGUAAACCUUGUGUUCCCAAACCUUUUUGUCGGCAACCGGGAGCUUCGUUUAUGACCUCUCUCUCUCUCUCUCUCUUAGUUGGGGGGAAGUUGUUUAGUAUAAAACUCAGAUAAAAGUUUAUUCCCUUCAGUAUCUAAACAAUUAAAAUUGACGAAAUAGUUCACUCCGGAUAAAUUUACGGAUGUGUGAGGUUGUGUCAGUGUAGAUGGAGAGGUGGGUGUAGGGUGUGGAGAGGUGGGAAGGAAGAGCCAUGAGCGACAGAACUCAACUUCACAGGCUGUGGUCACCAACUUCCUGGUCUCCCAGUAGGCCAGUUUGUCAGACACAGUUUUCCAUCUUAACUGAGAGCAGGAAGAAAACUGCAUUAUUCUAUCUUAUCCAAGGGCAGAGUAAUUACUUAAGGUUCCAUAUUUAAUGGCAGAGAGGCAGCGAGUUUCAUUUUACACUUAGGGCAAUGAGAAGCUACAAUGUCCGACCUUACACUAGGACAGGGAAAGGACGAUUGUUGGUUUCCACUUAAAGGUAAAAGAGAACAAUAAUACUCUAUCAUACCCAAGGAGUAAGAGCCCCAUUUUGAAUAGCUAGGAAGACGAAAAAUAUACUCCAUCUUACCAGAUAUUACGGAGGCUGCCACAACAUCGUCUUUUACCAAGGUCCGGAAGCCUGUAAAUGCUUUCCAACUUAUUAAAAGGUAAAAGAUACAGGCUGAUUGUUCCAGUUUACCCAAGAUAAGAGAAGCACAAGAGACAUUACAAUUUACCUGAGGGUAGAAACACAACAAGACCAUCAUACCAUUUUGCACAAGGAUAAGGAAGGCAGAAAUUGUGUUUCACCUUACCCGAGGACAACCACAGAGACACAGUGUUCCAUCUUUCUCACUACCAGGAAGACAGCUGUCGUUCUCCUUGAUACAUUUCCUUUUUAUUGAUACACACUUGUGGAGAUUUUGUGUUGAGGAUCUUUACGAUUUUUAAGCUGUUGCAUCUCAUAAUAUUUAUACACGUCACGUUUCACAAUUCACGCACCUACAGUUAAGCUUUACUACCAGGACAUUAACGUUGAUACACUGUAUUUUUGUCCUACAAUGAGGUGUUGUUUUCCUCGGUGCAUGCGAGUCUGCGCGCGCGUGUGUGUGUGUGACGCAUGUAACAGGUCACCGAGGUAAAAUGCUCAUUAGUAACAGAAAGUCUGGUUAAUUUUCCCAUUUCAUCUCACUUGUGUCUUCCCGAGACACCUGGCAGGUAAAUGAGGUGAAUUACUCAUUUGCAACAGGAUAUUGUGUUUUUCCCUCCGGUGGUCUCACCUGUGGGGCUCCCUGCCUCGCCCACCAUACAGCCCAAGUCUUGUUCUCGGCGUUUCUGGUUCUAUGUAUUGUAAAUGUUUUUUCGAAACAGCUAUACAUAUGUUAAGAAUGAAUAUACAUAUACUUGAUAGUUUUCUAUAACACAGUCGUAUUUUUGUACAAAUAAAA